Molecule: long non-coding RNA, 1765 nt
Organism: Myotis myotis
Lineage: Eukaryota; Metazoa; Chordata; Mammalia; Chiroptera; Vespertilionidae
Exons: 4
Source: RefSeq, a predicted model, not a curated record
AGCCCGCACUGAAUGGAGAUGUGCAGGUGCAGAGGACACAAGUAAUUGGGGCGCAGCAGCCGGGACCUCCGCUCACCCCAGCCCCACGCGUGCCCCGCACAUCCCGGCACGGCGCGGACCCUCGGGAGCCCCGGACACGCUCUCACGGCCCCCUCCUCCCAGACUUGGUGUGGCCGGCGCCUGCCUGCGAGCGAUGCCAUCUUGGGAUCCCAGCAUCUUACAAGUAGCUGCCGAGCUCUGCAUUCCGACCACGUCCCCGGGGCUGGGAAAACUCAACCCAACUUUGCCAGAGGGGAGAGAACCGGCUGGGGCGGACCCUCACGCUCUCUAACGGGAACGGACUGCAUCGGAUGCUACUGACCGCAUUUGUCAAAUGGCUACCAUGUGCCGGAUGCUGGUGGACAAUGAUGAACAAGACCGUGUCUUUGCUGCUAACAAGCUCAUAGUCUUGAGGAGAGAGAGAGCCCCAUCUGGGAAGACGUCUCUUACCACAUGGAAAAAGAAAAAGCCACCCUGAAUGUUGGCAGUUGAUCUCUAUAAUGGCCAAGUCAUACUCGUUUGUUUGACACUUGAUGUUUUGACAAUCUCUCCACAUGCAUUUUCUCUUUGGAUCUCUGCAACAACCCAGGGAGGAAGCUUGGGAAAGGCGAAGUUGAUGGGACAGAGGGAUUGCGUGACAGGCCUAGAAUCACAGGAGCUGGUGAGCGGCAGAAAGCAGGUUGGAAGGGCACUUGGCUGACUCCAGACUCAAUGUGCUUAGCUUGUGCACUGAACCUCUUCACCCGCAUCUCAUCUGGUCAAGGCCGACUUAUCCUUCUGUCUUUGCUCAACUGCCAUUUCUUUAGGAAAUAUCCCUGCUCUUCUGAAUGGAUCAAAUCCUGCUAUUGUCUGUUUUCACUACCCCCUUCCUCUCUGGCACCAUCACUGGGAUUUUAUACUCAAUUGAUCACAAUCAGUAACCAGUUGUUGACUGUUGACUCCAGGAAGUCAGGGCCCAUCAAAUUUUUAGCUCAUUAUUAUAUUUCUCUUUGCCUAAUGAAGUGCUUGUCAGUUAGUAAAUGCUCAAUAAUUAUUUAGCUACUAAUGAAUAUAUAGAUCUGUAUAUCUUUGACAAGAGUGUGAUUAUUCUGUACCUCUGCUGCUUCCUGCACAGCCCCAACUUGGGAUUGAGCCCACAAUCUGGGCAUGUGCCCUAAGCUGGAAUUGGACCAUGACCCCUUGGUUCAUAGGUUGACACUCAACCAUUGAGCCAUGCUAGUGGGCGGGAAUAAAAGCUUUAUACUACUCUGACCAACCCAUGAAAUGGAAUUAGAAGAAAAUAUACGAAUGAACUGGUGAAGGAACGGAUACUGACAGUUUCCUUAUAAGCAUGUUACAGGCAGCAGCAGUUCCAGUUCCCCUUUUGCUGGCCUCGACCACAGGAGAACAGCAGGUGCCAAUGGCUGGCCAGGCCUGCAACAUCCUGUACCCAGAGAUCAUCAUUGAAACUGGCAGAGAGAAAAACAAACAAACAAACAAAAAACAAACACCAGAUGCUGACACACAUGGAAGAGAAUAUCAAAACCACCUAAUAGCUGGAAUUCGAAACUGCAUUCCACCAGAAUUCCUUAGUUCCCCUCUCCCCACAAACCCCCUAUUAAAGCCUUUUGCCUGCCCUGAGAUGCGAAGGCAUGAGCCUGCCAGCUUUUCAGGUGGUUACCUGAAGAAAUCACUUUCCUUCCAUCAGCACCUGUGUCCUGUGUUUGGCUUCACAGAGGCAGGCAAA